CGUUGAUUACGUCCCUGCCCUUUGUACACACCGCCCGUCGCUACUACCGAUUGAAUGGCUCAGUGAGGCGUCCGGACUGGCCCAGAGAGGUGGGCAACUACCCCUCAGGGCCGGAAAGCUCUCCAAACUCGGUCAUUUAGAGGAAGUAAAAGUCGUAACAAGG
RNAcentral lists this ribosomal RNA (163 nucleotides) under Trichoderma reesei. RNAcentral describes it as "partial small subunit ribosomal RNA". It matches the Rfam family "Eukaryotic small subunit ribosomal RNA", at positions 1639 to 1799 of the family's 1831-position model. Lineage: Eukaryota; Fungi; Ascomycota; Sordariomycetes; Hypocreales; Hypocreaceae. The record is from RNAcentral.